GAUGAACGCUGGCGGCGUGCCUAAUACAUGCAAGUCGAGCGAACAGACGAGGAGCUUGCUCCUCUGACGUUAGCGGCGGACGGGUGAGUAACACGUGGAUAACCUACCUAUAAGACUGGGAUAACUUCGGGAAACCGGAGCUAAUACCGGAUAAUAUAUUGAACCGCAUGGUUCAAUAGUGAAAGACGGUUUUGCUGUCACUUAUAGAUGGAUCCGCGCCGCAUUAGCUAGUUGGUAAGGUAACGGCUUACCAAGGCAACGAUGCGGACCCGACCUGAGAGGGGGUCCGCCCCCCUGGGACCGGGGCCCCGGCCCAACCCCCUCGGGGGGGCCCGCGGGGGGAAUUUUCCGCAAUGGGGGAAACCCUGCCGGGGCAACCCCGGGGGAGUGAGGAAGGUCUCCGGUUCGUAAACCUUUUUUUUUGGGGAAAAACAAAUUUGAAAGUACCGUUGCCCUUUUUACGGGUCCCAAAGCAAAAGGCCCCGCCAACCUCCUU
RNAcentral lists this ribosomal RNA (496 nucleotides) under uncultured bacterium. Its description in RNAcentral is "partial 16S ribosomal RNA". It matches the Rfam family "Bacterial small subunit ribosomal RNA", at positions 28 to 507 of the family's 1533-position model. The record is from RNAcentral.